UGAGUAAUGCCUAGGAAUCUGCCUGGUAGUGGGGGACAACGUUUCGAAAGGAACGCUAAUACCGCAUACGUCCUACGGGAGAAAGCAGGGGACCUUCGGGCCUUGCGCUAUCAGAUGAGCCUAGGUCGGAUUAGCUUGUUGGUGAGGUAAUGGCUCACCAAGGCGACGAUCCGUAACUGGUCUGAGAGGAUGAUCAGUCACACUGGAACUGAGACACGGUCCAGACUCCUACGGGAGGCAGCAGUGGGGAAUAUUGGACAAUGGGCGAAAGCCUGAUCCAGCCAUGCCGCGUGUGUGAAGAAGGUCUUCGGAUUGUAAAGCACUUUAAGUUGGGAGGAAGGGCAGUAAGCGAAUACCUUGCUGUUUUGACGUUACCGACAGAAUAAGCACCGGCUAACUCUGUGCCAGCAGCCGCGGUAAUACAGAGGGUGCAAGCGUUAAUCGGAAUUACUGGGCGUAAAGCGCGCGUAGGUGGUUUGUUAAGUUGGAUGUGAAAGCCCCGGG
This 504-nucleotide ribosomal RNA is filed under the name uncultured bacterium. RNAcentral's name for it is "bacterial SSU rRNA". It matches the Rfam family "Bacterial small subunit ribosomal RNA", at positions 107 to 607 of the family's 1533-position model. The record is from RNAcentral.